This 221-nucleotide unclassified non-coding RNA is filed under the name Tomentella lapida. RNAcentral's name for it is "partial internal transcribed spacer 2". The record is from RNAcentral. Lineage: Eukaryota; Fungi; Basidiomycota; Agaricomycetes; Thelephorales; Thelephoraceae.
ACAUCUCAACUCCUCACGGUUUGCCCGUGAUGAGCUUGGACAUUGGGGGUCUUGCUGGCCUGCGGGUCGGCUCCUCUCAAAUGAAUCAGCUUGCCAGUGUUUGGUGGCGUCACAGGUGUGAUAACUAUCUACGCUUGUGGUUUUCCGCCAGGUAACCUCCAGCAAUGGGGGUUCACUGGAGCUCACAAAUGUCUCUCCUCGGCGAGGACAGCUCUUUGAAC